GAAAAAUCUCUUCUUUUGGAGCUACUUCAAGCUGACAAAGGGGUGAAGGUUGAGGCUAAACUUGGAUCUGGUGGGGGCUUUUUCCUUCUGCUGCAGUGGCUGAUACCCUGCUAUGAGGACUUCUGUGGCUGUCUGAGUCUUGCUUUCCUCUCUCUUCCAAGGAAGUUGGGGAAGGAAGAGCAAGCAGAGAAGUGGUUGCUAACUCACUGUCCUGUUUGGGAGGGGCUGGAGGAACAGAGAGCAUGAGUGUGUGGUGAAGAGAUACAAGAUGGCAGAGAUGAGGAAGGUUCACAAGAUGGCAGAGAGGAGUCGGAAGAGCUGGCCAAGUUAUAGAGUGGGGGAGGUGUGAAUGGUGAGUGACUGGCUGGAUUGAAGGUGGGAGUCAGGAGGGGUGGAAGACGGAGUUUGGGCUAGAAGUAUCUGAGA
Molecule: long non-coding RNA, 426 nt
Filed under: Fukomys damarensis (Damara mole-rat)
Lineage: Eukaryota; Metazoa; Chordata; Mammalia; Rodentia; Bathyergidae
Description: lncRNA (ENSFDAG00000029305.1)
Source: RNAcentral